This 468-nucleotide ribosomal RNA is filed under the name uncultured bacterium. RNAcentral's name for it is "partial 16S ribosomal RNA". It matches the Rfam family "Bacterial small subunit ribosomal RNA", at positions 28 to 507 of the family's 1533-position model. The record is from RNAcentral.
GACGAACGCUGGCGGCGCGCCUAACACAUGCAAGUCGAACGGAGCUGAGAGAAGCUUGCUUUUCUUAGCUUAGUGGCGAACGGGUGAGUAACGCGUGAGUAACCUGCCCUGGAGUGGGGGACAACAGUUGGAAACGACUGCUAAUACCGUAUAAGCCCACGAUCCGGCAUCGGAUUGAGGGAAAAGGAUUUAUUCGCUUCAGGAUGGACUCGCGUCCAAUUAGCUAGUUGGUGAGGUAACGGCCCACCAAGGCGACGAUUGGUAGCCGGACUGAGAGGUUGGACCGGCACAUUGGGACUGAGAAACGGCCCAGACUCCUACGGGAGGCAGCAGUGGGUGAUAUUGCACAAUGGGGGAAGCCCUGAUGCAGCGACGCCGCGUGGAGGAAGAAGGUUUUCGGAUUGUAAACUCCUGUCGUUAGGGACGAUAAUGACGGUACCUAACAAGAAAGCACCGGCUAACUACGUG